This is a long non-coding RNA of Lolium perenne, 523 nucleotides long. RefSeq lists it as uncharacterized. NCBI's taxonomy places the organism in Eukaryota, Viridiplantae, Streptophyta, Magnoliopsida, Poales, Poaceae. The record is from RefSeq and is a predicted model, not a curated record.
AGGAUCCACUCUAAGUAGCAGACAUUAGUAUUGUUUGAUCGACGACAACUAUGAUGAGGAGCGUUGCGUUUGUGACGGUGAUGCUGCUGCUGGUGGCAACGGCAAUGGCACAUAUGAGGCAACAGGUGUAUACGGAUGAAGACGAACGGAAUCACAUGUUGGACCUCAAGGGCGUCGGUGGCCCGGAAGGCGCCGAGGCGCGCAGGCACCAAGACGUAGUUGAUGGCAAAAACGGCGGCGUGCACUCGGUGCCUCAUAAAUUUGCUCCUGGAGAAAAGCAUGAAGCUCCUCGAGACAGGACGCCCUACUAAGAGUCGUGACCGACAUCCAUAGUUUACCCUAAAACCUACACUAUGCUAUUGCUUUGUCAUGCAUCAUCAACAUAUAUAUCUUAGUUAAUCAGAAGGAAUUAUAUUCUUACUGUGUACCUACUGAUCGAAAAGAUGGCAUGCUAUUUUUAAGAUUUUCACUGGCUUGAAAUGUAGCAAUGCACCAUAGCACUAUACGAAGUUUUGAUUAUCUU